Molecule: RNA transcript, 1992 nt
Organism: Fundulus heteroclitus (mummichog)
Lineage: Eukaryota; Metazoa; Chordata; Actinopteri; Cyprinodontiformes; Fundulidae
Gene: adgrf3a
Gene name: adhesion G protein-coupled receptor F3a
Exons: 7
Source: RefSeq, a predicted model, not a curated record
AAUACAUCAUGUUUCUUUAAUAAUUCCUGCAAUCAAACUCAAAAGCAAACAACAAUGGUCAAUGUCAUUUAUGUUGGGGAUUUGUACUGCCCAGCGGAAGGUGACUGGGGAAACACCAAGGUUGAUUUCACUGCAGUGAAGAAAUGCAGUAAACAGGCUGGAAUAAGAAGGCGAAAGUGUAUAGAGGAAGAUGGGAAAGGGGUUUGGAAAGACGAAGUGUCAGAAUGUGUUGAACAGGAGCUCAGCAAUGUGCUGGAAUCUGCUGAAAUUAGUGACAUUGGACUCGGUGAAUUGGCUUCAAAUGCUGCAAUUGUAUUUAACCGCUUUGAGAGUGUCACCAAGACAUCAAAAUUACCUGGUUAUGCCAACAUAAACAUAUCAGUCAAUGUACUUAGCACCAUGAAGGAGAAGUUAUCGAGAACAAAUCUGACAAAUCAAUCAGCAAUUGAAGAUUUUCUGUUCUCCUCCAGUCAUCUGCUGAACGAGAGUCUUGCAAGCUCAUGGAACGCAACGACUCCUGAGGGCAACUCGUCUUUUCUGGCUGAGAAUUACUUGCUUGCGGUGGAGAAAUUGAUUGAAAGAUCAGAGAUCAUAGGAAAUCCUAGAAGGAAAAAUCUGGAAGUGGAUGUGUGCAAUACCACCAAAUGUAACAUGACUGUUUUUGAUGCCAAAGUUUCUCUUAAAGAGAAAGGGGUAGUGAAAACAGCUGGAUUCCAAAACCUGCAAAACUAUUUGCCCUACGACAACAAAUCAAUUCUCAACAGUAUCAUUGUGUCUACAACUGCAGAAACCAAAACCAACAUUUCGAUUACGAUUGACUUUACGCUGCUCAAGCCAAGGCCUCGCAAUGUUAUGUUACACUGUGUGUUUUGGAACACCAACAUUAAAAACUGGUCAACAGAUGGAUGUGAAUGGCAAGGUGCUGACGAGGUGGGCCGCUGCGUUUGUACACAUCUCUCCUCGUUUUCCAUUCUGAUGUCCAAGGAGCCCAUUGAAGUCCCUGGUUUAACUUACUUAACCUAUGCAGCUCUGUCAGUAUCAGUGGUGUCACUCAUCAUUUCACUUGUGAUAGAACUGAUUGUCUGGAGCGAAGUGGUCAAGACGAGCACUUUAUAUUUACGCCACACUGCCCAUGUGAAUAUUUCUCUGUGCUUGCUGAUCGCUGACCUCUGCUUUUUGGCGUCUUCCCAACCGAAGGGUAUUUCAGAGCUCUGGUGUCGAACCUCCGCCGUGUUGAAGCAUUUCUGCUACCUGGCCAUGUUCUUUUGGAUGUUUUGUUUGAGCGCCACACUUCUUCACCAGGCAGUCUUUUUGUUCCACAAGGUGAGCAAGAAAAACUACCUGAGGUUCUCCUUGGUCAUAGGCUACGUUUGCCCCCUGCUCAUAGUUUUCAUCACGUUCGUUACUAACGACGGCGGAAGUGAGGGGAAGUACUUCUUAAAAGAGUCCUGCUGGCUGGUUUACGACGGAAUGUUCAAGGGCACCAUUUUUACGUUCAUCAUUCCAGUUGGAGCCAUUGUCUUCAUCAAUGUGUUCUCGAUGCUCGUGGUUAUCAUGAAGCUCAUAAGCCACCACAGUAUCAGUGAAGUACACAAGAAAAAUGACAUCUCACCAGAGAAGGAGAAAACAGCGGCCAAAAUUGUCGUGAGGUCAGUUAUCCUCCUGACCCCCAUCUUCGGUGUGACGUGGAUCUUUGGAUUUGCCAUUUUGAUCAUUGAUCUUACAGAAGGAACAAUAGCUUUAGCCGUCAAUUACAUCUUUACCGCGCUCAACGGAUUCCAGGUAGGGCCAAAAGGAUUUUUGCAAUUUGACAAAUAAACAAGUUGGCGUAUUUUUGAUACAACUCUCUUUUGAUUCCAGGGUUUUUUCAUUUUGUUGACAACAUGCCUUGGCGACAGAAUGACCCGUGAGGCUCUACGGAAGUACUUACGGAAGAAAGCUCCAGCAUCCAGUGUCAGCGAGAGCACCACCAAAUCGGAGUUAACAUGGAAG